This 501-nucleotide ribosomal RNA is filed under the name uncultured bacterium. Its description in RNAcentral is "bacterial SSU rRNA". It matches the Rfam family "Bacterial small subunit ribosomal RNA", at positions 29 to 523 of the family's 1533-position model. The record is from RNAcentral.
AAUGAACGCUGGCGGCGCGCCUGAUACAUGCAAGUCGAGCGAGAAGACGUAGCAAUACGUUUGUAAAGCGGCGAACGGGUGAGGAAUACAUGGGUAACCUACCCUCGAGUGGGGAAUAACUAGCCGAAAGGUUAGCUAAUACCGCGUACGCUCCUUGGACUUCGGUUCAGGGAGGAAAGCGAUACCGUGGGUAUCGCGCUCUUGGAUGGGCUCAUGUCCUAUCAGCUUGUUGGUGAGGUAACGGCUCACCAAGGCUUCGACGGGUAGCUGGUCUGAGAGGACGAUCAGCCACACUGGCACUGCGACACGGGCCAGACUCCUACGGGAGGCAGCAGUAAGGAAUAUUGCGCAAUGGGCGAAAGCCUGACGCAGCGACGCCGCGUGGGGGAUGAAGGUCUUCGGAUUGUAAACCCCUUUCGGGAGGGAAGAUGGAACGAGCAAUCGUUCGGACGGUACCUCCAGAAGCAGCCACGGCUAACUUCGUGCCAGCAGCCGCCGUAA